RNAcentral lists this ribosomal RNA (636 nucleotides) under uncultured bacterium. RNAcentral's name for it is "bacterial SSU rRNA". It matches the Rfam family "Bacterial small subunit ribosomal RNA", at positions 202 to 842 of the family's 1533-position model. The record is from RNAcentral.
UAAAGAAUUUCGGUUAUCGAUGGGGAUGCGUUCCAUUAGUUAGUUGGCGGGGUAACGGCCCACCAAGACGACGAUGGAUAGGGGUUCUGAGAGGAAGGUCCCCCACAUUGGAACUGAGACACGGUCCAAACUCCUACGGGAGGCAGCAGUGAGGAAUAUUGGUCAAUGGACGAGAGUCUGAACCAGCCAAGUAGCGUGAAGGAUGACUGCCCUAUGGGUUGUAAACUUCUUUUAUAUGGGAAUAAAACAGGGUAUGCAUACCCUCUUGUAUGUACCAUAUGAAUAAGGAUCGGCUAACUCCGUGCCAGCAGCCGCGGUAAUACGGAGGAUCCGAGCGUUAUCCGGAUUUAUUGGGUUUAAAGGGAGCGUAGGUGGAUUGUUAAGUCAGUUGUGAAAGUUUGCGGCUCAACCGUAAAAUUGCAGUUGAAACUGGCAGUCUUGAGUACAGUAGAGGUGGGCGGAAUUCGUGGUGUAGCGGUGAAAUGCUUAGAUAUCACGAAGAACUCCGAUUGCGGAGGCAGCUCACUGGACUGCAACUGACACUGAUGCUCGAAAGUGUGGGUAUCAAACAGGAUUAGAUACCCUGGUAGUCCACACAGUAAACGAUGAAUACUCGCUGUUUGCGAUAUACGGUAA